This 253-nucleotide ribosomal RNA is filed under the name uncultured bacterium. RNAcentral describes it as "partial 16S ribosomal RNA". It matches the Rfam family "Bacterial small subunit ribosomal RNA", at positions 524 to 776 of the family's 1533-position model. The record is from RNAcentral.
UACGUAGGGUGCAAGCGUUGUCCGGAAUUAUUGGGCGUAAAGAGCUCGUAGGCGGUCUGUCGCGUCGGCUGUGAAAACCCGGGGCUCAACCCCGGGCCUGCAGUCGAUACGGGCAGACUAGAGUGCGGUAGAGGAGACUGGAAUUCCUGGUGUAGCGGUGAAAUGCGCAGAUAUCAGGAGGAACACCGGUGGCGAAGGCGGGUCUCUGGGCCGUAACUGACGCUGAGGAGCGAAAGCGUGGGGAGCGAACAGG